This is a non-coding RNA of Arachis ipaensis, 2004 nucleotides long. The record is from RefSeq and is a predicted model, not a curated record. NCBI's taxonomy places the organism in Eukaryota, Viridiplantae, Streptophyta, Magnoliopsida, Fabales, Fabaceae.
UCCCUUUUUAUUUUAUCCCAGCUCCUUCAACCUUCUCAUUCUCCCUCACUCACCUGAAUCACCUCCCUCAUCCUCCUUAUUCUCCAGUCGACACUCUUGCACAGUUUAGCCUCUCUCACUCAAUCACAGCGGCAAGCUCAUCAUCCAGUGACACUGCCUUCGGUCACCUCUAACUCCCCAGAUCGUCGCUACUAGCCUUUUCACGGCCAGCCUCGUCGCCGCCAACCUCUUCGCCACCAGCCUCAGCGCUAUCAGAUCUACUUCUCGCCAAUAUCGUUGUCUCGACGAGACCACUGGGUUGCUUGAUUGCUACUCUCUGCCGCUAAUAGGUCCUUCUCUCUACCAACCAUGUUGCUGCCAGAUCUGCAUCUUCUCGCCAACCUCGUUGUCUCACCUUAACCACUGGACUUUCUGAUUGCUACUCUGUGUCGCUGACAAGUUCUUCUCGCUGUCAUCCUCAAUGUCGCUAGAAGGAGGAGUAGCGCCACCCCGAUUCCGAGUACGUGUUCAAUCCCUAUUACGACGACACCACAAUAAUCAACAACUAUGCCUCCAUAAUUAUAACUAUCACUGCAACAGUUCUGAACCAUUUUUUUUUUAAUUUGAAUUGAAUUUGAUGGAGGUGUAAAGGGCAAAGGGAUGUUCCAGAGAGCAAAGCAAGAGGUUGUUUCUUUUGUUGAGUUGGGGAAGAGGUUGUUGCUUCUUCAGCUUGUUUUGGGUGGUGCAGUUAGUGGCUCUUUGAUGAUUUUGAUAGAUUUAAUUUUUUGAUAGGGCUAUUAAUACCAUAGUCUGGCUUGAUGAUUCGAUUAUUGUGAAAAUUAAUUUUGAAAGCUUAUCGCCAUUUCUUUGUGAUGAAUGCAACUCCAGAUUCGGCGGCUGGAGAGUACGGCUGCUGGAAGUCAGGUUACGGCGGUGUCGGGAAUAACACUUUUCCAAUCCUUUUUUGGGUUGUCAUUCUUCUAUGGUUCUUCAAUUAAUAAGGUAGGAUUAAGUUGACUUGGGAUCACUGGCAAGAAUCCAUAGAAGGAGACGGCGCACUACGGUGGUGGAGAUCGAGUGAUUGAACUACAAAACCCUAAUCAGAAUUUUUCGAUUCCAAUGGAGGAGAAACACCGCGAUGCUGGAGCUCUGAAGCGUAAGGCCAGCUCCCUCUCACUAUAGCGCGUCAAAUCCACGCGGUGUCAUCGUUGCGUCAUCUUUCCCGGCAAGUUCUGCCGCUUGUUCUGCUUUUGAUCCAGCAGAUGUGAAGCACUCAGAGCACAGUUUGGGCGUGGACUCAGUGCCGUUGGCUGAGGAGAUCUGAGAGAAGAGCAAAACAGAGAGAGCUCGCCUCGCCGUCGUCGUUGCCGUCGCCACCGCAGUUCAUCGCCUCUCCAGAUCUGGUCGCAAUGCCCAAGCCUCUGAAGAUGUUCCAUUACGACCUCCUCGACGAGACGCAAAACAAGCUCGAUUACAUCCUCUCUCUCUCUCUCACUGUCGAGAACUUCCUCAAGCGCUGCCUCCAUAUUCUCAUCUUCAAGUCCGGCAUGGCCAAGUCCAUCCAUCAGUGCAUAUUAGAGCAUACAAGAAGCUUUCAGCCGUUGGAUUGUGGGAGAGUAAAAAGAAAACCUCAGUGGAGGCACAACUCAAGAUAAUUGAGGAAAAUUUGAAAAGAAAGAAAGCAGCAUAUGCAGAAAAGAUGAAGAAUAAGAUAGCUGAUAUUCAUAGGUCAGCAGAAGAGAAAAGGGCAAUGGUUAAAGCUCAAAAGAGGGAAGAGUUUAUCGAGUUAGAGGAAAUAACUGCAAAGUUUUGUAGUAGUGGUCGUACACCAGCCAAAUUCUUUGCAUGUUUUAAAGCAUAAGUUUUCUUUUUUUGUUUUUCUAUGUAGCUAACUACAAAAAGAUCAGAAUAUCAUUGGUGUGGUUAUUACUUUGUUAAUAUUCAUUUAAAAAUUUGCUUUAGAGUGUUGUAUUUUUCUCUUGGUGUAUAUACUAUUAUAUCAUUGAUAUGAACAAGAAAAUAAGU